This is a long non-coding RNA of Ictalurus punctatus (channel catfish), 855 nucleotides long. The record is from Ensembl. Lineage: Eukaryota; Metazoa; Chordata; Actinopteri; Siluriformes; Ictaluridae.
UUUAGGGUUAGGAUUAGGGUUAGGUUUUAGGGUUAAGGUUAGGUUUUAGGGUUAAGGUUAGGGUUAGGUUUUAGGGUUGAGGUUAAGGUUAGGGUUAGUGCUUUUAGGAGGGUGGGCGCUAACCCGUGUGCACAGGCCAUCUAUGUCGUUUGCUCGAAUGGAUUCACUUCACAUUGAGGCCUUGGGGAUGUAUAGUACCUAAUUUCCUAAUCCAGAUCUUUUCUGCUCUUUUUCUCUGGAGCACAGACCACAACGGGUUGGCCUGCAGGACCGUGACGCUGAAUGAGUCCCAUCCGUGCUCCAGAAAGUGUUGGACCAGGUUUUGGAAGUUGGACCUAACCCCCCUGGUCAGUUUCACCGCGGCGGACGAGUACGUCAGGACAAAGGGCACGACGGUGCCCUCCGUCUGCGUCCCUUUGGUCAGGUGUUGGAGAAAAAAAAGGUAGUGUAUGGUAUGUAUAAAUGUGCUAUUUUGAGUACUGAGGUAUUUUAGAGUAUUUUUGGAUUUAAGUUUUAGGUAUUAUUAGUAGUGUUCGGUUCGUAUCAGUGUAGUUUCUUUUAAGAAAGGAAGAUAGGGUGUAUUUUCAAUAAAAUAAUGAAUGUAAGUAAAGGGAAUCCUUUCCUUAAACUUUAAUUCAGGUACAGUUAACAAAAUAGAAGGAUAAAUCAGCUGUUGUUUUAAAGCAAUAGUAGCAGGUAGUAUUUGAUUUGAAUCGAGGUACUCUUUUUUUAGAAAGAACGAAUAGGGUGUAUUUUGAAUCAAAAAGUGAAUAUAAUAGUAAAUGUAAGUAGAUGGAAUACUUUCCUUCAGGUUUAGUCUAGAUAAAGUUCAGAAAAAAAAGGAUGAACAAGCCG